RNAcentral lists this unclassified non-coding RNA (325 nucleotides) under uncultured fungus. RNAcentral describes it as "partial contains small subunit ribosomal RNA, internal transcribed spacer 1, and 5.8S ribosomal RNA". The stretch from base 1 to 73 matches the Rfam family "Eukaryotic small subunit ribosomal RNA", at positions 1759 to 1831 of the family's 1831-position model. The record is from RNAcentral. Lineage: Eukaryota; Fungi.
GCAAACUUGGUCAUUUAGAGGAAGUAAAAGUCGUAACAAGGUUUCCGUAGGUGAACCUGCGGAAGGAUCAUUACCGAGUGCGGGCCCUCUGGGUCCAACCUCCCAUCCGUGUCUAUUCAUACCCUGUUGCUUCGGCGGGCCCGCUGGCUGCCCCCUCCUGGGGGGCGCCGGCCGCCGGGGGGCUACCCUGCCCCCGGGCCCGUGCCCGCCGGGGACACCAACACUGAACACUGUCUGAAGGUUGCAGUCUGAGUUUUCAUAAAGAAAAAUUGUUAAAACUUUCAACAACGGAUCUCUUGGUUCCGGCAUCGAUGAAGAACGCAGC